This 444-nucleotide ribosomal RNA is filed under the name uncultured bacterium. Its description in RNAcentral is "SSU rRNA". It matches the Rfam family "Bacterial small subunit ribosomal RNA", at positions 26 to 518 of the family's 1533-position model. The record is from RNAcentral.
AGAACGAACGCUGGCGGCAGGCCUAACACAUGCAAGUCGAACGCUCGUAGCAAUACGAGAGUGGCAGACGGGUGAGUAACACGUGGGAACCUUCCCUAUGGUUCGGAAUAGCUCAGGGAAACUUGGGGUAAUACCGGAUAAGCCCUUCGGGGGAAAGAUUUAUCGCCAUUGGAUGGGCCCGCGUCGGAUUAGCUAGUUGGUGAGGUAACGGCUCACCAAGGCAACGAUCCGUAGCUGGUCUGAGAGGAUGAUCAGCCACACUGGGACUGAGACACGGCCCAGACUCCUACGGGAGGCAGCAGUGGGGAAUAUGGACAAUGGGCGCAAGCCUGAUCCAGCCAUGCCGCGUGAGUGACGAAGGUCUUCGGAUUGUAAAACUCUUUUGGCGGGACGAUAAUGACGGUACCGCAGAAUAAGCCCGGCUAACUUCGUGCCAGCAGCCGC